RNAcentral lists this ribosomal RNA (466 nucleotides) under uncultured bacterium. RNAcentral's name for it is "partial 16S ribosomal RNA". It matches the Rfam family "Bacterial small subunit ribosomal RNA", at positions 28 to 507 of the family's 1533-position model. The record is from RNAcentral.
GAUGAACGCUGGCGGCGUGCUUAACACAUGCAAGUCGAACGAUGAAGCCCAGCUUGCUGGGUGGAUUAGUGGCGAACGGGUGAGUAACACGUGAGUAACCUGCCCUUAACUCUGGGAUAAGCCUGGGAAACUGGGGCUAAUACCGGAUAGGAGCGUCCCCCGCAUGGUGGGUGUUGGAAAGAUUUAUCGGUUUUGGAUGGACUCGCGGCCUAUCAGCUUGUUGGUGAGGUAUUGGCUCACCAAGGCGCCGACGGGUAGCCGGCCUGAGAGGGUGACCGGCCACACUGGGACUGAGACACGGCCCAGACUCCUACGGGAGGCAGCAGUGGGGAAUAUUGCACAAUGGGCGCAAGCCUGAUGCAGCGACGCCGCGUGAGGGAUGACGGCCUUCGGGUUGUAAACCUCUUUCAGUAGGGAAGAAGCGAAAGUGACGGUACCUGCAGAAGAAGCACCGGCUAACUACGUG